AGAAUCAACGCUGGCGGCGUGCCUAACACAUGCAAGUCGCACGAGAAAGGGACUUCGGUCCUGAGUACAGUGGCGCACGGGUGAGUAACACGUGAAUCAUCUACCUUCGAGUGGGGAAUAAACUGAGAGAAAUCUUAGCUAAUACCGCAUAAUACCUACGGGUCAAAGCAGCAAUGCGCUUGAAGAGGAGUUCGCGGCAGAUUAGUUAGUUGGCGGGGUAAUGGCCCACCAAGACGAUGAUCUGUAUCCGGCCUGAGAGGGCGCACGGACACACUGGAACUGAAACACGGUCCAGACUCCUACGGGAGGCAGCAGUGGGGAAUUUUGCGCAAUGGGGGAAACCCUGACGCAGCAACGCCGCGUGGAGGAUGAAAUCCCUUGGGAUGUAAACUCCUUUCGAUCGGGAAGAUAAUGACGGUACCGAGAGAAGAAGCCCCGGCUAACUUCGCGCCAGCAGCCGC
This 461-nucleotide ribosomal RNA is filed under the name uncultured bacterium. Its description in RNAcentral is "SSU rRNA". It matches the Rfam family "Bacterial small subunit ribosomal RNA", at positions 26 to 518 of the family's 1533-position model. The record is from RNAcentral.